RNAcentral lists this transfer RNA (86 nucleotides) under Cladopodanthus heterophyllus. RNAcentral's name for it is "tRNA-Leu". It matches the Rfam family "tRNA". From Rfam's summary of the family: Transfer RNA (tRNA) molecules are approximately 80 nucleotides in length. RNAcentral also lists the same sequence under 1 other name. Lineage: Eukaryota; Viridiplantae; Streptophyta; Bryopsida; Dicranales; Leucobryaceae. The record is from RNAcentral.
GGGGAUAUGGCGAAAUUGGUAGACGCUACGGACUUGAAAAUCCGUUGGCUUUAUUGACCGUGAGGGUUCAAGUCCCUCUACCCCCA